GACGAACCGUGCGAACGUUGUUCGGAUUCACUGGGCUUAAAGGGCGCGUAGGCGGCUUGCCAAGUCAGGGGUGAAAUCUUUCGGCUCAGCCGGAAAAGUGCUUCUGAUACUGGCGGGCUGGAGGAGGGUAGGGGCAGAUGGAACUUCCGGUGGAGCGGUGAAAUGCGUAGAUAUCGGAAGGAACGCCGGUGGCGAAAGCGAUCUGCUGGACCCUUUCUGACGCUGAGGCGCGAAAGCCAGGGGAGCAAACGGG
Molecule: ribosomal RNA, 253 nt
Filed under: uncultured bacterium
Lineage: Bacteria
Description: partial 16S ribosomal RNA
Rfam family: Bacterial small subunit ribosomal RNA
Source: RNAcentral